This 784-nucleotide ribosomal RNA is filed under the name Weissella paramesenteroides. RNAcentral's name for it is "bacterial SSU rRNA". It matches the Rfam family "Bacterial small subunit ribosomal RNA", at positions 8 to 749 of the family's 1533-position model. Lineage: Bacteria; Bacillati; Bacillota; Bacilli; Lactobacillales; Lactobacillaceae. The record is from RNAcentral.
AGAGUUUGAUCAUGGCUCAGGAUGAACGCUGGCGGCGUGCCUAAUACAUGCAAGUCGAACGCUUUGUCUUUAAUUGAUCUGACGAGCUUGCUCUGAUUUGAUUUUAUCUGACAAAGAGUGGCGAACGGGUGAGUAACACGUGGGUAACCUACCUCUUAGCAGGGGAUAACAUUUGGAAACAAGUGCUAAUACCGUAUAAUACCAACAACCGCAUGGUUGUUGGUUGAAAGAUGGUUCUGCUAUCACUAAGAGAUGGACCCGCGGUGCAUUAGCUAGUUGGUAAGGUAACGGCUUACCAAGGCAAUGAUGCAUAGCCGAGUUGAGAGACUGAUCGGCCACAAUGGGACUGAGACACGGCCCAUACUCCUACGGGAGGCAGCAGUAGGGAAUCUUCCACAAUGGGCGCAAGCCUGAUGGAGCAACGCCGCGUGUGUGAUGAAGGGUUUCGGCUCGUAAAACACUGUUAUAAGAGAAGAACGGCACUGAGAGUAACUGUUCAGUGUGUGACGGUAUCUUACCAGAAAGGAACGGCUAAAUACGUGCCAGCAGCCGCGGUAAUACGUAUGUUCCAAGCGUUAUCCGGAUUUAUUGGGCGUAAAGCGAGCGCAGACGGUUAUUUAAGUCUGAAGUGAAAGCCCUCAGCUCAACUGAGGAAUGGCUUUGGAAACUGGAUGACUUGAGUGCAGUAGAGGAAAGUGGAACUCCAUGUGUAGCGGUGAAAUGCGUAGAUAUAUGGAAGAACACCAGUGGCGAAGGCGGCUUUCUGGACUGUAACUGACGUUGA